UGAGUGCUAGAACUGGUCGAUGGU
This 24-nucleotide non-coding RNA is filed under the name Arabidopsis thaliana (thale cress). Lineage: Eukaryota; Viridiplantae; Streptophyta; Magnoliopsida; Brassicales; Brassicaceae. The record is from RNAcentral.